This is a long non-coding RNA of Papio anubis (olive baboon), 1653 nucleotides long. The record is from Ensembl. Lineage: Eukaryota; Metazoa; Chordata; Mammalia; Primates; Cercopithecidae.
AUGUGUCAGGUUUCAUUCCUUUUUGUAGCUGAGUGCUACUCCAUUGUAUGGAUGUGCCCCACUUCAUGUGUCCAUUCAUCGGUUGAUAGACCAGCCCAGUGUCAAUGGCGGAGGCAACGCCAUGGGAGUAUGAACUCCCCAGGAUGUGGGGCUCACUGGGAGCUAUCCCGGGGGAUGGCUGCCAAGUGGAUUAUGUGUUCAAAGCCAGUCUUCACUAGAAUUCAACCUUCACAAGGUCAAGCUCCCAGUCUGCAUUUUUACACCACUUCCCAGCUCAGGCCCAGACACACAGCAGAUGUGCAGAGGAGUGUGAAAGAGGCAGUCGACUCACUGGGGAGCUUCAGAGGGAGAUGGCCCAGAUUGCUGGAUCCUACGAAUCUCCUGGAAAGAAGGAACAGCAGAAAGAACUGGACUACCCCUGUUUAUUCCUGUGAACCAAACAGUGACUUCUGGCUGCAGCUCAAAAGAAACAAGAGGAAUGUGCUGUCAAAUUCCAGAUGAUCCUCAGCAAGGGAUACCAUCCUCUCAAUAUUCAAAAGUUACCCUUCUACAGGGGACUGUUAGAUUGCCCAUCAGUGGGACAUGACAGGUGAAAUAGUGCUCAUGUCUCCCUCGGACCUGACCAGAUACUGCUUUCAACAACCCAUGGAGCCACUUUGCCCUGACAGCUAGCAAGAGGCCAAGACCCACAAAACAACCACCACCAUGCCUCUGUCAACAGGAAGCAGUUAUAGAAUACCGAACUUCAUCCAUUGUCUCAAAGAAUUGGACACUUACUCUCUUGAGAAGGGAGAUGUUACAGUAGGUAGCCAGUUAGACACAAGCAGGGCAGGAGAGAAGCCCCUGGCAACCCAGUACCAGCAAUGUCAGGUAAUCACCACGUGAUGGUCAGGCGGUUGUUACACUGUCUCUCUAACACAAUAGUUGGUCACAGCCAGCACCAGGAAAAAGCAGUCUUCCAACAGAUAGAAAGACCUGAAGGUAGUGAUCAGCAGCUUCCCAUUAAGGUCUUGGGAAUUGGGAGAGUGGGCUAAAGCAUGCACACUAAGAGGCAAAAUGGUGGAGUUUAACUGGUAUAUGACCUUUCUUUGAGAACAUUUGACUGGUAAGGGAGGAAUGCCUCAAGUGAGCAUGUGUACAAUUACAGUAAACACACUGUGCAUGCAGCCCCUCUCAAAUGCUGAGAGGCCACUGCACAUGUGAACAGCCCAUUCUGAGGGAAGAAUCAGAGGAGAAGGGAUACAACCAUUCAGACACAUGCCCCCAAAGUCAAAGGUUGAAGCAUUCACUUGACUCUCUCAAGUUGCCUGCUUUGCCCUCUUCCAAGUGUAUUUUACUUCCUUUCAUUUCUGCCCUAAUAUCUUAAAAUAAACUUUCAUUCUUGCUCUAAAACUUGCCUCAGUCUCUCUCUCUCUCUCUCUCUCUCUCUCUCUCUCUCUCUCUGCCUUAUGUUGCUUGGUUGAAUUCUUUUUUUUUUUUUUUUUUUUUUUUUAAGGAGGCAAGAAUUGAGGUUGCUGCAGAUCUGUAUGGACAUGUCACUACUAACACUAAGUGAAGGAGUCAUAGUACAAACUGAGGCAUCUGGCCCCAGAGUCAGCACACACUUUGCCAUUGUGCUAAUUUCUUUCAUUUCUCUUGUUUAACCAGUCUAAA